GCACUGGUGGUUCUGUGGCAGAAUCCUUGCCUUCCAUGGAGAAGACCAGGGUCUGAUUCCCAGCCAGUGCA
RNAcentral lists this transfer RNA (71 nucleotides) under Loxodonta africana (African savanna elephant). It matches the Rfam family "tRNA". Rfam says of the family: Transfer RNA (tRNA) molecules are approximately 80 nucleotides in length. Their secondary structure includes four short double-helical elements and three loops (D, anti-codon, and T loops). The record is from Rfam by way of RNAcentral. Lineage: Eukaryota; Metazoa; Chordata; Mammalia; Proboscidea; Elephantidae.